GUCCUGAUUUUGGCGGCACCUACAGGUAAUAGAGGCACACUGCGCUGUGGAGAUUGACUGGGUUUCAAACUGCUGUUCUAAUGAAUGAUGUGAGCCAAAGAAAAAUUAUAUUUAUAUUUUUAAGGUCUUUUAUUUUAUGUAUCAGCGGUGAUUUGUGAUUAUGGCAUAGGUAUAUGUCAUAAUAGGCAGAUAUUGUUAUUAUUAUUAUGUGUCCCCGUGCGUACACGCACGCGCCAGCGGUCACGGAUAUACAGUUGGCCCACAGGCAAGGAUAAAAAUAGCACAAGCCGAUGCGACGGGCGCAGCCCUUUUCCUCUACCAGAUCCCAUUUUCCCCCUUAGGUUUUCACAAAGCGGAGCUUCACCACAGAUUGAUUUCCCUUCUAUGGCCAUCAUUGUCCUCUCGUGUUCAUGUCCACGCAGUGUGCACGUGUAGAUGGACGGAGUUGUUGUGUGGAGAACGUCUCACACUGAAUGAUAGAAGGCUGGGGUGAUAGACAGAACAUCCAGUGAUAGGAGGUUUAUUUCUGCGUAUUUGCUCGGACGUUUACGCACCCUGUUCCGCGGGGGUGUCAUGCGUGUGGAGCUGCCUCAGCUCACCGUGGCUCUGUCUGUGGUUUUACCCGCCAAAUGCACUGGAUGCUGGGAUAUAAAUGAUCCAGGACCAAAACAGCAUCAACACUUGGAUAUACAGAGAAGUGGUUGGGAGGGGAGAGACGGGAGAGGGAGGGGAGAGGAGGGUCGCUGGAAACCCAGAUGCUCCAGCCUUUGAGGAGGGAUUUUACCUGGAGAUAACCUGCUCCAAAAAUGUGUAGUUUCCAACGAAUCUUUGACACAUUAGCCGAUCUUCUCAUUUAUUUAUUUCUCCCUAUCCAUGGCACAAUUCGGAUAUAGCCGAGCGCAGAGAGACAGUCUUUAAUCAGGCUUUACGGGCUGGAAAGUGAGAGAAUCUAAACGUGACGUCAAUGCCUAGUAACUGACGCAGCCCUUCAACAUAAAAUGGCUUUUUACUCAUUUUUUUCUCCAUCUCCUAUCGUCAGAAAAGCUUAAUUACUAGAUUUUACAGUGCUCCGUCAACUGCAGAAAGAAAAAGAAAAUCCCUGCAAGCAGUGCCGGGUAGGCCUUGCUCUUCAAUAUUUGGACACAUUUAGCGUUCACGAGUUUUGUGCUGAAGUAACACUGGGACCAGAAGCUUCUGAAGAGGGCGACAACACCUCAAACAUAGCCGAUGGUAGUGGCAGUGUCCAGAUUCUAGUUGUUAGGAAGGAAAGUGGCGUUUAAAGGAUCAAACGGACGUUUUUUUGUUUGUUUGUUUGUUUGUUUUUUUUUUUUAAGACACUGCAAUGAUGCAACGGAUGAGGACUCGACGCUCUUAAGCAGAGUUGGAGAAGCAGUAAAAGAUAUUUUUAUUACAUGGUGCACAACAUGUAACGAUUCCAAGCAAUGCGUUCUUUAGAGCAAGGACGAGCCAGAAUUACGGUGAGAGAGGCACCUGCACACGCAACGUUGAGUCCCCUCUACUUUUGUGAGAAAACAGUAAAGAAAACCUCAGUGACCUGUGUGGACUCUGCUGCUGCGGCAGCUUCAGCCUGAGGAGUUAUCCUGCUGCGCUGCGCUCCAGACAGAAAAGGUGAUCAGCGGUUUGCACCGAGGACUGAAUGGCAGAAAUACCUCUAUUUUUUUCUGGAUUUCCCCCAACAAGGUAAAUAGAACCCCUCAGCACCAGGGGAGGCAGGGUUUAGGCCAGGGUCCACUCAGCCCUAACACAGGUCAGAAGUUAUGAAUUCAAGAGGAAAGAACCUGGAAGCUUUCUCAUUGAUAAAGCAGGAAAGUAGAGAAGGAUCAAAGUUCCAACUUAGAAGAUGAAGGAAGCUUCUUAUGAGCUCAGCUUUCUACUUUGUUUCUAUCAGCAGCUGAAGCUGAGACGGUUCAGCCAUGAGGUCUGCGCUGAACCGGUCUGAUAUCAGGAUGGAAAGGAAAAUGAGGUGGCAUGAAGUAGUUACCAAUGCAGCAGGUGAAACAAGAAGUGGAGGAACAGGAUGAAGACAGAUGACGACUGGGUGGAGGUAGCAGGAUGGGUGAGCUAAGAGGCGAGCCCACACCUUAUUUCCAUGGGCACCACCCGAAACCAGGAAAGUCAAGUUGGAGCAGGACCCAAAAGCGCCCAUGAUGUCUGAUCUCACAAAGGCAAGGAUGAAGCACAGAAGACCAGUCCUCCCCCCAUCAUGCUGAGCAGCUGCACACUCAGCUCUGCCUCCUGAACACACACACAACAGAUGAAGCAGCUGUCACAUCGCAGUUCUCUGUCGGAUAAAACACCACUGAAGCUGUUUGGCAGACAAAUCAUGGCAGUGAUCUGAGGCCGGAUUCCCCUGUUUGCAGUGUGUGUGUGAGAGAGAGCAUCAGAGUGAGUGUGUGUAUAACAGCUGGAUGUUCAUUGUCUGUCUUCUCAAACAUGUAACAUUUUUCUUGGCAUGUGCAACAUUCCAAUCAUACUGUAUAUUGGAUCUGCUGUGUUACAUAUUAAAUAUAAAAUGCAGACCCUUUUUAACCCUGUAUGUUUUCCUCAUUAUUGUACUAGAGCAGUCAGUUUGUGCCAUGAAUUAUUUAUAUUAAAGAUGACAUUUGUGCAAAUAUUUUUUUCUUAAAAAAAAAAAGCUGAUUUUUUUUUUCCCUCGUGCAUUUUGCUGAAUUUGUUAUGAAAUGUUUAUACAAUUUGUUUCUCCUUCCUCUCGGAUGCCCGACGAUUGUGUCUAAUUUUGCGAACAGCAGCAGGAAAUUUUUGGAGGAGAAACACCAGUUUCUUACUCUCACUGCUCUGCAGAGUACACAGCAGGUUCUGCUGGGAGCCACAGAGCCUUGGUCUGGCUGCAUUUCGUGUUUGGUUUGCCCGGCUGCCUGGAUGGAUGAGGGGGGAAGACAUGGAGCAUGGCGGCUUGCAGGCAGAUAGGGUGUGAAAACAACAAAUGAAAAACUGUUGCAAACAUCCUACUAUAGUGCUGCUGAUUUUUAUUGUGAAAAAUUAAAAAGGUGACAUGCUUUGGUGACGUGUAACAAGUUUUUUCUAUGAACUCGUGUGGAAAUUUUAAACACUCUGUGAAAUAAAAGCGAUGGAAAUUUA
Long non-coding RNA from Cyprinodon tularosa, 3120 nucleotides. RefSeq lists it as uncharacterized. The transcript is spliced from 9 exons. NCBI's taxonomy places the organism in Eukaryota, Metazoa, Chordata, Actinopteri, Cyprinodontiformes, Cyprinodontidae. The record is from RefSeq and is a predicted model, not a curated record.